GACGAACGCUGGCGACAUGCUUAACACAUGCAAGUCGAACGGAAAGGCCCUGCUUUUGUGGGGUGCUCGAGUGGCGAACGGGUGAGUAACACGUGAGUAACCUGCCCUUGACUUUGGGAUAACUUCAGGAAACUGGGGCUAAUACCGGAUAGGAGCUCCUGCUGCAUGGUGGGGGUUGGAAAGUUUCGGCGGUUGGGGAUGGACUCGCGGCUUAUCAGCUUGUUGGUGGGGUAGUGGCUUACCAAGGCUUUGACGGGUAGCCGGCCUGAGAGGGUGACCGGCCACAUUGGGACUGAGAUACGGCCCAGACUCCUACGGGAGGCAGCAGUGGGGAAUAUUGCACAAUGGGCGGAAGCCUGAUGCAGCAACGCCGCGUGCGGGAUGACGGCCUUCGGGUUGUAAACCGCUUUCGCCUGUGACGAAGCGUGAGUGACGGUAAUGGGUAAAGAAGCACCGGCUAACUACGUG
Molecule: ribosomal RNA, 468 nt
Filed under: uncultured bacterium
Lineage: Bacteria
Description: partial 16S ribosomal RNA
Rfam family: Bacterial small subunit ribosomal RNA
Source: RNAcentral